GGCCGCGCCGCCCCGCUCCGCGCCUCUCCCGGGAGCCGCCCCGCAGGCGGCUCCGCGCCCCUUCCCGGGCCCCGCCGCUGCCGUCCGGCCGGGUCCGGCUCGGGCCGGUCCGGCCGCACCUGCACCUGCGCCAGCGCCAGCGCCGCGGGGAAGGCGCUCGCCCCUCUGCGCCCCUCCGCACCUCACGCCACCUCCGCCCUCCCUUACCUGGCGCCGGGCCGCGGCCCCGGCCGCUCCCGCGCGGCGCUUUUGUGGGCGCGGGGCAGCGCAGCGCGGCGAGCAGCGCAGAAAAACACCUUCUCAUCUAAAAGUCCUCCUUAAGACUUUUCUGUUCAAGGAACCCACCUCAGUGAAAGCAAAUGAAACAGAAACCAGGGUGAGGAUAAAAUUCCAAGAAGACACUGGCACAGACAUACCUCAAAGCAUUUAUUGCUGGGAAACAAGUGAGCCUCUGGGGCUGUGCUGCUGCAACAGCUCCAAGAUGUCCUUCCCUUCAGCUAUAUCAAAUGAUUGACAGGGGCCUGCAGAAGAACUACCGGCUCUGAGAUUUAUAUAAGAAAAACUAAUAGAAGAAAAAAGUUACACACUAGUUCCUGUUUUUUUAACUUUUCAAUGAUUCCAUCACUAGCUCGCUAUGGACUUAAUGUUUUGAAGAGAUAAAAUCUUGCUGAAACCAAUUCCAAUUGCAAAACUAAUUCCAUCCUUAUCUCUAGCAGGUCAGCCAUUUCAAUGGUGUUGAAGAUCAUUGAUUCUGUAACUUUGCCUAUGAUUAAGGAACAAAAAAUCCUACUGCUAUUGCAGCAUCUCCCCAGUGUGAUGCUUGGACAUGUAAUUAAGUUAGCAGGGUUUUAGCAAGUACCAUUUGUACUGUGGUAACUGUGGAGAUAGGGAUACAUAGGCUGCUAGGCAGCAGCAAAUGCAUGGUGACGUGACUUGUUCUGACAGGAGAGAGAGCUAAGCUAACUUGCACACUGAUUGCCUGUAGCAAAUGCAAAAUAAAACAUGCUGACAAUUGCUGCAGUUCAGCUGAUGUAUAGUAACUUGUUAAUCUGUGGUAACUUAAUGAUGCCUCUGAGCUCAUAAGACAGUUGAGUUUACUACACUGCUCUUCGCUUAGAUCCUGUUCUAUCAAUAAUUGAUUUUUUCUUUUGUCUUCCUGUAGGCUUCCGUGGGUUUCAGAUCUAUAUGUAUGUGAAUGUGUAUUCUGUUAGACACACAGAAACUGGACAUUACAAGUUAUGCCAGGAUUCAUACUGGCUGGGAUGGUCUUAUUUAAGAAAUAGGUAUAUGUGACAGAAGACAGAAACAAUAGAGUAACCAUGAUAAAGGUAGCUGGUUCCAAACACAGGCUUCAGCACCAACAAAAGAGAGUGGAAAAGUUUGAAGGGGCUCUGUGUAGCAAGAAGAUGUCACAUACCAUCGAAGCCUUACUGCAACAGGAUGGGAUGAAACAACGCUGGGAGGGAGCUGGCACUGCAGCAGCCUAUGGCAGGAUUUAGCACUGAUGACUCAAAAGGGAACUGUUAAAGGUGAAAGGCCAGACAACUGGAGGACGAAAACCCUUCCCUUUCUUUUCUUUCUCCAUUCUCCCUUACAUGGCCAGAUGAAUCCCAACAUUAAUGAAGGGAUAGCAAUUGCUUCUGAUUUAGUGCUUGAAACUGAGUACUGUUCUGUAUGCACAAAAGGUUACUGACUGGACAGUGAAAGAGUGGAGGAAAAUGAGUAAAGAAAAUAAGCCUUUUCAGGAUGCCAUUUUUAAGAAACAGUAUACAUCUAAUGGGAGCAAAAAAAUAAAUGUAACUUUAGGACUUUUUCCCUCCUGAGUGGUAAUGCAAGCCAAAGGAAAGACGAUGAGAAAACUUGUAUGGAAUUUGGAGUGAAAAUCAAUCCAAUGGGAGAAAAAUCACUUUUCUUUAUUAGCAUAUAAUGUGUCUUAGUCCCUGUUUUCCAUUGCAGCAUAGGUCCUUUAGGGGCCUUACAUGAAUUCAUGUCUGAACCAAUCCUUAUUUUCCUUAGAAAAGGUCUGAUGAAGUAUUGAUUCUUGCUCCACAUUUUGAUACUUGUUCUCACUGGCCAAAAAAAGUUCUUAGGAAAAAAGAAUUAAUAGCAACAGCCUGGAAGACUUGUUUGUGACAUAGUUUUAAUGGCUGGACACAGGCCUUAAAUAAAAAUGUUCAGUCCUGUCUAGGGUUUGCCUUAAAGCCACUUGAUUUUAUAAAUUGAGCAAGACUUACUGUUGAAUCAGGUGUAUCUGAAAUAAAAAGAAUAUUAUCUAGUUUGAAAAUUACAGGUAAAAAAGACUAUGAAAUUAACUUCAUGUAUUAUGUAUAUACAGCACUCUUUGCUUGGGAUGCAGUAGGAUUUAUUUAUGAAAUAAUGUGUUGGUGAUAUUGCAUAUACUAAAUACUUUGUAAAUAAAUGAAGUUAUUAAUAAACUAGAAAAUUUUUGAAUUCA
Long non-coding RNA from Dromaius novaehollandiae (emu), 2455 nucleotides. RefSeq lists it as uncharacterized. The transcript has 2 exons. NCBI's taxonomy places the organism in Eukaryota, Metazoa, Chordata, Aves, Casuariiformes, Dromaiidae. The record is from RefSeq and is a predicted model, not a curated record.